This 1003-nucleotide long non-coding RNA is filed under the name Cyanistes caeruleus (blue tit). RNAcentral's name for it is "lncRNA (ENSCCEG00000002682.1)". The record is from RNAcentral. Lineage: Eukaryota; Metazoa; Chordata; Aves; Passeriformes; Paridae.
GGGGACGAGGCUGCGGCGCUCUGGGCCAAUCGCGUGCGAGGAGGUUUCCCUAUGCCCCGCCCCCGCGCUCCCAGUCCAUCCCAGUUCACCCAGUCUGAUCUCUCAGAGCUCAAUAAAUAAAAUUUUAUUGAUGGGGAAGGGGCGGGGCCACCUCGGCUCCUCCCACUUCCCCAGGCCUCAGUCCGGGAGGAAUUCACAGUAUUUUGGUUAAAAAAAACCCCAAAGUGCCCCAGGGGUUACUUGGGGCACCUGGACAGCCCUGAACGAGCACGGACAGCUGGCACAGGUGUGCACAGCCAUGGCCAGGUGUGCACUGGUGUGCACAGGUGUGUCUGCAGCCAUGGCCAGGUGUAUCAGGCUGUGUCCAGGUGUGUCUGCAGCCAUGGCCAGCUGUGUCCAGGUGUGUCCAGUUGUGUCUGCAGCCAUGACCAAGUGUGUCAGGCUGUGCCCAGGUGUGUCUGCAGCCAUAGCCGGGUGUGCACAGCCCCAUCAAGAUGUGCCCAGAUGUGCCCAGGUGUGUCUGCAGCCAUGUCCAGGUGUGCACAGCUAUUCCCAGCUGUGUCCAGCUGUGUCUGCAGCCAUGCCCAGGUGUGCACAGCUAUUCCCAGCUAUUCCCAGCUGUUCCCAGCUGUGUCCAGCUGUCCACCCAGCUGUGCCCAGGUGUGCACAGCUGUGUCUGCAGCCAUGUCCAGGUGUAUCCAGCUGCUCCCAGCUGUGCCCAGGUGUGUCCAGGUGCACACAGCUGCUCCCAGCUGUGCCUGCCCCCAGCCCUGCUCUCAGUCCUGCGGCUCCUGGGGGCCGCUCCCCCACCCCGGGGGGCUCUGGGGGGGUCUCGGCUCCCCCAAAUCCUCAGGGCUCGUCGUCCUCUGACGUCAGCGGCCGCUGGGGGAGGAAGCGGCGGGUCAGUGGGGGGGUCCCUGAACCCCCUCCUGCCCCAGAGCCCCAUCCCGGCUGUCCCCGGGCCCCCCACGCCCCCCCCUCACUCACCAGGGGGUCCCCGAGC